The sequence is a small nucleolar RNA, 133 nucleotides long. Its record names the gene SNORA70. It matches the Rfam family "Small nucleolar RNA SNORA70". From Rfam's summary of the family: snoRNA U70 seems to be exclusive to mammals and is a member of the H/ACA class of snoRNA which contain H (ANANNA) and ACA box motifs. H/ACA box snoRNAs are involved in the conversion of uridines to pseudouridines (5-ribosyluracil) a constituent of structural RNAs (transfer, ribosomal, small nuclear, and small nucleolar). The record is from Ensembl.
CUGCAGCCAAUUAAGCCGACUGUGCUCUUUCCCCAUGGGGCCCAGUGUGCAAUGGCUGCGAACAGCAGCCUCCUUGGUAGUGUAUGCAGCCUGUUGGUUGUACGGGUUGCCCUAAGGGACCUUGGAGACAGUU